RNAcentral lists this ribosomal RNA (577 nucleotides) under Bifidobacterium pseudolongum. RNAcentral's name for it is "bacterial SSU rRNA". It matches the Rfam family "Bacterial small subunit ribosomal RNA", at positions 114 to 692 of the family's 1533-position model. Lineage: Bacteria; Bacillati; Actinomycetota; Actinomycetes; Bifidobacteriales; Bifidobacteriaceae. The record is from RNAcentral.
UGCGUGACCGACCUGCCCCAUGCACCGGAAUAGCUCCUGGAAACGGGUGGUAAUGCCGGAUGUUCCACAUGAGCGCAUGCGAGUGUGGGAAAGGCUUUUUGCGGCAUGGGAUGGGGUCGCGUCCUAUCAGCUUGUUGGUGGGGUAACGGCCUACCAAGGCGUUGACGGGUAGCCGGCCUGAGAGGGCGACCGGCCACAUUGGGACUGAGAUACGGCCCAGACUCCUACGGGAGGCAGCAGUGGGGAAUAUUGCACAAUGGGCGCAAGCCUGAUGCAGCGACGCCGCGUGCGGGAUGGAGGCCUUCGGGUUGUAAACCGCUUUUGUUCAAGGGCAAGGCACGGUUUCGGCCGUGUUGAGUGGAUUGUUCGAAUAAGCACCGGCUAACUACGUGCCAGCAGCCGCGGUAAUACGUAGGGUGCAAGCGUUAUCCGGAUUUAUUGGGCGUAAAGGGCUCGUAGGCGGUUCGUCGCGUCCGGUGUGAAAGUCCAUCGCUUAACGGUGGAUCCGCGCCGGGUACGGGCGGGCUUGAGUGCGGUAGGGGAGACUGGAAUUCCCGGUGUAACGGUGGAAUGUGUA